AGUGAACGCUGGCGGUAGGCCUAACACAUGCAAGUCGAACGGCAGCACAGUAAGAGCUUGCUCUUACGGGUGGCGAGUGGCGGACGGGUGAGGAAUACAUCGGAAUCUACUUUUUCGUGGGGGACAACGUAGGGAAACUUACGCUAAUACCGCAUACGACCUACGGGUGAAAGCAGGGGAUCUUCGGACCUUGCGCGAUUGAAUGAGCCGAUGUCGGAUUAGCUAGUUGGCGGGGUAAAGGCCCACCAAGGCGACGAUCCGUAGCUGGUCUGAGAGGAUGAUCAGCCACACUGGAACUGAGACACGGUCCAGACUCCUACGGGAGGCAGCAGUGGGGAAUAUUGGACAAUGGGCGCAAGCCUGAUCCAGCCAUACCGCGUGGGUGAAGAAGGCCUUCGGGUUGUAAAGCCCUUUUGUUGGGAAAGAAAAGCAGCAGGUUAAUACCCCGCUGUUCUGACGGUACCCAAGGAAUAAGCACCGGCUAACUUCGUG
This 492-nucleotide ribosomal RNA is filed under the name uncultured bacterium. RNAcentral describes it as "partial 16S ribosomal RNA". It matches the Rfam family "Bacterial small subunit ribosomal RNA", at positions 29 to 507 of the family's 1533-position model. The record is from RNAcentral.